CUGCUGCCUCCCGUAGGAGUCUGGUCCGUGUCUCAGUACCAGUGUGGGGGGCCUUCCUCUCAGAACCCCUGCGCAUCGUCGCCUCGGUGGGCCGUUACCCCGCCGACUAGCUAAUGCGCCGCAUGCCCAUCCGUGGCCGGGAUUGCUCCCUUUGGCGGCCUUGGGAUGUCCCUAGGCCGCGUUACGCGGUAUUAGACGGGGUUUCCCCCGCUUAUCCCCCUGCCACGGGCAGGUUGCAUACGUGUUACUCACCCGUGCGCCGGUCGCCGG
Molecule: ribosomal RNA, 270 nt
Filed under: uncultured bacterium
Lineage: Bacteria
Description: partial 16S ribosomal RNA
Source: RNAcentral